Non-coding RNA from Acanthosepion pharaonis, 94 nucleotides. The record is from the annotation of a GenBank genome assembly. Lineage: Eukaryota; Metazoa; Mollusca; Cephalopoda; Sepiida; Sepiidae.
AUACACAGGUUCUUGUAUGAUUAUCGAAGUUAAGCAACAUUGAGCCUGAUUAGUACCUAGAUGGGUGACCACUUGGGAAUACCAAGUGCUGUAA